Long non-coding RNA from Engraulis encrasicolus (European anchovy), 779 nucleotides. RefSeq lists it as uncharacterized. The transcript is spliced from 4 exons. NCBI's taxonomy places the organism in Eukaryota, Metazoa, Chordata, Actinopteri, Clupeiformes, Engraulidae. The record is from RefSeq and is a predicted model, not a curated record.
UUUCUCCGUCAUACAUCAUGUCUCUUGACGAGCUGAUGGAUAAAGCGAAACAGCUUACAGAGGACUUGGAUCCAGAAGGCGACACCACCAAACAACCUACGAAGAGGAAGAAGUCCGGCGAAUCUUCUGUGGUGUGGCGGAAACGGGACUCGAGAGGGCAGCUGGUUUCUCAGCGCCCAGGUCAAGGAACGUCGCAUAAACCUAUACAGAAAAGAAGGGCUGCUCAGACUACAGGAGCUUCUCAUGAAGAACCAGGACCAUAAGGCUUUAUCCUCCCAAGACAUUUGGCACCCUAGGCAACCGUCUUGUUUGUGCUUUACUGUAAUGUGUAUUUGUUUCAUGAUAUUUUGUUCACUUUCUGUAAGUAAUAUUGGAAUUUUAUAUGUUCUAUCAUACUAUAAACAGUAGAUGUACUGUACCUCCUGUAGUCAAGAGUAAAAAAAUGUGUCUUACUGGAAUCAUCUUGAAUGUCAACAACAUAUGAGGUCACAGUCCUGUUGCAUUUGGAAAUUUAGUGCAAGCAGUGAAUUGCAUAAUUUAAAUUCAUGCAAUAGGCUACAUGUAAAACUGAAACAUAAAAGUCUAUGCAACUUUUGUAAUGUUCUCAAUAGCCAGUGUUUUGAAGUCUUGUGUUAUUUGAUUGACUCAAUGUACCUUGUGAAAUGACAACAUGUGUUAUUUUUUGACAGAUGUAUUUCAUUUUGAGCCAUAUAUCUAGUGUUUUGGUAAAGUGAGUGUGUACAGAAAAAGAUGUGAUCUAUUUUGAAAUGAGUACUUUG